GUCUGAAAAAACAUAAUAGUUACAACUUUCAACAACGGAUCUCUUGGUUCUGGCAUCGAUGAAGAACGCAGCGAAAUGCGAUAAGUAGUGUGAAUUGCAGAAUUCAGUGAAUCAUCGAAUCUUUGAACGCACAUUGCGCCCCUUGGUAUUCCAUGGGGCAUGCCUGUUCGAGCGUCAUUUGUACCUUCAAGCUCUGCUUGGUGUUGGGUGUUUGUCUCGCCUCUGCGUGUAGACUCGCCUUAAAACAAUUGGCAGCCGGCGUAUUGAUUUCGGAGCGCAGUACAUCUCGCGCUUUGCACUCAUAACGACGACGUCCAAAAGUACAUUUUUUACACUCUUGACCUCGGAUCAGGUAGGGAUACCCGCUGAACUUAAGCAUAUCAAUAAGCGGAGGA
This 395-nucleotide ribosomal RNA is filed under the name Epicoccum sp. CID1423. Its description in RNAcentral is "eukaryotic LSU rRNA". The stretch from base 24 to 177 matches the Rfam family "5.8S ribosomal RNA". The record is from RNAcentral. Lineage: Eukaryota; Fungi; Ascomycota; Dothideomycetes; Pleosporales; Didymellaceae.